This is a long non-coding RNA of Diuraphis noxia (Russian wheat aphid), 278 nucleotides long. RefSeq lists it as uncharacterized. The record is from RefSeq and is a predicted model, not a curated record. Lineage: Eukaryota; Metazoa; Arthropoda; Insecta; Hemiptera; Aphididae.
CGCACGGUGUAAUAGUACCUAUGAAGGUAAAAAUUGCUACAAUUCAAUAUGUUUCACAUAAGUAUGGUUUAAACGUUUAAAGGACCAUCAAGGAUCAAAGUUGUUUUGUAAAGUGUAUUGUGUAUGGAAUGGUUGCAAGUUCAGAAUAUUCCUCAACAUGGCGGCAUUGCAUGCGAACGCAUAAUACAAACAAAGUAAUGCUUACGGAUAACGUGUGUGGGUGUGCUUAGAUCGAAAAAUUACAACGAUUUUGUCGAGCCCCGUGGACUAGAUGCAAA